Molecule: ribosomal RNA, 467 nt
Filed under: uncultured bacterium
Lineage: Bacteria
Description: partial 16S ribosomal RNA
Rfam family: Bacterial small subunit ribosomal RNA
Source: RNAcentral
GACGAACGCUGGCGGCGUGCUUAACACAUGCAAGUCGAACGGAAAGCCCUGCUUUUGUGGGGUGCUCGAGUGGCGAACGGGUGAGUAACACGUGAGUAACCUUCCCUUUACUUUGGGGUAACUUCAGGAAACUGGGGCUAAUACCGGAUAGGAGCUCCCGCUUCAUGGUGGGGGGUGGAAAGUUUCGGCGGUUGGGGAUGGACUCGCGGCUUAUCAGCUUGUUGGUGGGGUAGUGGCUUACCAAGGCUUUGACGGGUAGCCGGCCUGAGAGGGUGACCGGCCACAUUGGGACUGAGAUACGGCCCAGACUCCUACGGGAGGCAGCAGUGGGGAAUAUUGCACAAUGGGCGGAAGCCUGAUGCAGCAACGCCGCGUGCGGGAUGACGGCCUUCGGGUUGUAAACCGCUUUCGCCUGUGACGAAGCGUGAGUGACGGUAAUGGGUAAAGAAGCACCGGCUAACUACGUG